AUAGAACGCUAGCGGCAGGCCUAACACAUGCAAGUCGAGGGGUAACAUAGAAAAGCUUGCUUUUCUGAUGACGACCGGCGCACGGGUGCGUAACGCUAUACAACCUACCUUUUAGCGGGGAAUAGCCCAGGGAAACUUGGAUUUAAUGCCUCAUAGUAUAUAAGCUUCUCCUGAAGUUUUAUAUUAAACAUUUAUGGCUAUUAGAUGGGUAUGCGUCCUAUUAGUUAGUUGGUAAGGUAACGGCUUACCAAGGCAGCGAUAGGUAGGGGUCCUGAGAGGGAGAUCCCCACACUGGUACUGAGACACGGACCAGACUCCUACGGGAGGCAGCAGUGAGGAAUAUUGGACAAUGGGCGAGAGCCUGAUCCAGCCAUGCCGCGUGCAGGAAGACUGCCCUAUGGGUUGUAAACUGCUUUUACAGAGGAAGAACCACCCCCACGUGUGGGGGUUUGACGGUACUCUGCGAAUAAGGAUCGGCUAACUCCGUG
This 488-nucleotide ribosomal RNA is filed under the name uncultured bacterium. Its description in RNAcentral is "bacterial SSU rRNA". It matches the Rfam family "Bacterial small subunit ribosomal RNA", at positions 31 to 507 of the family's 1533-position model. The record is from RNAcentral.